GCCGUUUGUACCCGAAGUCAUCGUGCUAACCGCAAGGAGGCAGAGUGCCGAAGGUAUGGAGUGGUGAUUGGGAUG
This 75-nucleotide ribosomal RNA is filed under the name uncultured bacterium. Its description in RNAcentral is "partial 16S ribosomal RNA". The record is from RNAcentral.